Rosa chinensis is the source of this 2314-nucleotide long non-coding RNA. RefSeq lists it as uncharacterized. Lineage: Eukaryota; Viridiplantae; Streptophyta; Magnoliopsida; Rosales; Rosaceae. The record is from RefSeq and is a predicted model, not a curated record. The transcript has 9 exons.
CGGACUUUUUAUUAGUCUCAAACUCCAUUUUCAGUCCUCUUCUUAUUCUAUCACUUAGAAGUUAGAAGCCGACCUUUUCUUUUCUCAUCUCCCCUUUCCCUCUUCCUCUACCUCACUCUCUUCCCCACUGCCGAUCCUCACUCUCUUCCCCACUCCCCACUGCCGAUCCUCCCCACUCAUCAUCUUUGCCGUUCCAUUCCGCCGUCCCCUCCUCCACUGCUUUCGUCGAACACCUUCUGCCCGAGCAGGAGGAGGAUUGGGACUUGAACAAUAUGGCGCAGAGCGACGCUUUCUAUCUCUAGAUCCACCGAAAGCCCAAGAGAUAUUCAGAAGUCCGAUGCCGACACAAGGACCGAUGAUGCUUCUGGUCGAUGACGGUGACGAGGAGUAGCGAUGUGAGCUCGUGUGAGCAUCGGAAAGGCAGGGUAUCACCAAGGAGGCGACGGAUUGAAGUUGCAUUGAAUUUGAGCUUUUUUGGAAUUGUUUUAGUUGCAUUGGAUUGAAGUUGAUUGCGAUUCUGUUUCAAUUAAGUACAUUACACAGUUCGAUUUGAGCGGCGACAAUAGGGGGACGCCUUUGAAGUUCACUGUCAGUAGAGGUGAGGGAGUUCAUUGACAGUAGGGCGACGAUAGGCCCUUGUUCUUCAGAUUCUCUAAAGCCAACCCCAGUUGCACAGAGAUCCUGUACCACCACCACCACCAGGACCCUCCUUCUCUCUCUCUCUCUCUCUCUCUCUCUCUCUCUCUCUCUCUCUCUCUAAGUAAAGAUUGGUAUUUUACAUGUAAUCCUCUAAAUUCUGAAAUCAAAAUCUCAUCUUUAUGAUAUCUUCACCUGUUUUUUUAUUUUCCCAAUUUUCUGGGCCACCACCCAGAUCGCUUAGCUAUCUCUGUUUCAAUUUGUAUAUGCUCAUCUAUUCCGUUUGUUGUUUUCUGUGGUUGGAUCUUGGAUUCGGAUUCGGAUUCAAAACCCAUUCUUGUUUAUGAUUAGAUGUUUUUGUAUAUAAUUUGUAUCAAUGAUUCUGGUGUGAGAAAUAUUCGUUGUCUAUUGCACCAAUCGGUCUUUCUUUACUCAUUGGUUUUUGGAUUUCUCAACCUUCUCCUUCAUUUGCUAGCUUCACCAUUGUAUCAGUUGUCUGCUAUUUCCUUGCUAAUGGCUUCAUAGCCAUUCUGAUUUUGAUAUCCCAGUUCGCCUUUUAUGGGGCUGCUCUGCUACAUAUUUUCAUCAAGAAAAGGAAUUAUUUUUUUGCAGGUUUCAAUUUGGGGGAAAAACUUCUCAAUGGUUUGUGAAUAUAGCCUCUGUUUUCUGUUCAUGGAAGUUCUUGAAAAAGGUUGAAAUGCUGACUCAUGAACUUUGACACGACUCUUUUAUGAACAGGUGGUAAGGGUUGUAAGAGCUAAUCCACUAAUGCUUACAGCACUUGCUGCAAUUACUUUGGCAUGCUUGGUUCAUCCAGGUUUGGGUCUACUUGUUCUCUUGCUCUCUCAUGCUUUGUGCUGUCAUACUGCUCUUUGCAGAAUAAUGGAGUGCGAGAAGCAGCUUAGCAUACUUUAUCAAAAACAAGGUCGUGCGACCCAGUUUCCAAGUAAAGCUGCUCGUGACAAAUGGCUUCAAAAGGAAAUUGAUGAUCUUGAACGAGUUCUUUCUUCAAAUUUGGCACAGCUUCUUUGAAUGAGAGAAGAGGUUGAUGCGGAAUGAAUGAGUUAAGUCAGAAGAUUCUGGGAGGAUUGCAGAGGCUAGGACACUAAAUCAGUAGACAAUGAUUUACAAUAUUCAGCUAGUAUUAAGUACCUUAUAAGAGGGCAUGGCCAACCAUUUCAGAUCCAGUGCUAUAUAUUGGCAGGGAUUGCUUCUGCUAUGGCAGGGUUGAGUGCACCAUCUUGCUGGGAUAUACUGUGCAAUAGUUACACUCAACCAUAGGUCGGAACGAUUAAAGAGAGCCCAAUCUGAGAAAUCAUCACUUCUGGAAAAAGCUGAGGAACUUGCAGAUCAAUUGGCAGUGGAUAUCCUCAUUUUGUCAAAGUGAUGCUUCCAUCAAAUGUUGCUGUAGGCUUCUAGCUUCAACACGUCCAGGUGCUUAGAGAAGGGAUGAGCUUGUUGCCAGCUUUACCUUCAACCCGUUGCUGAAAGCAUGGAUAAAUGAAUGGCUUCAGUGGUGUGAUAUUAAGUCUUACAAAUUUGAUUUUGUACUCAUCUUAUUGAGUUAAGUGUAAGAAAUAUGUAGUGGCAUCUGUUAGGGAUGAAAAUUUUAUGAAGUGUUUCUUUUACAUCCAGCUUCUUAUAUAUAUGAUAUGAGCCUAUGAGGGUAAUAUGAAUA